GGCCGGAUGGUCUAGGGGUGUGAUUCUCGCUUAGGGUAUGAGAGGUUGCGGGUUCGAAUCCCGGUUCGGCCC
Molecule: non-coding RNA, 72 nt
Organism: Dictyocaulus viviparus (bovine lungworm)
Lineage: Eukaryota; Metazoa; Nematoda; Chromadorea; Rhabditida; Metastrongylidae
Source: Rfam